RNAcentral lists this ribosomal RNA (443 nucleotides) under uncultured bacterium. RNAcentral describes it as "partial 16S ribosomal RNA". It matches the Rfam family "Bacterial small subunit ribosomal RNA", at positions 338 to 795 of the family's 1533-position model. The record is from RNAcentral.
CCUACGGGCGGCAGCAGUGGGGAAUAUUGCGCAAUGGAGGCAACUCUGACCCAGCAACGCCGCGUGCAGGAAGAAGGCCUUCGGGUUGUAAACUUCUGUUGUCAAGGAAGAACAUAAUGACGGUACUUUACAAGCAAGCCCCGGCUAACUAUGUGCCAGCAGCCGCGGUACGACAUGGGGGGCAAGCCGUGUUCGGAAUUACUGGGCGUAAAGGCAGGGGAGGCGGGAGAUUAAGUUAAGGGUUAAAGCCUUGGGCUCAACCCAAGAAAUGCGUGUGAUACUGGUAUUCUAGAGUGUGGGAGAGGUAAGUGGAAGUCCUAGUGUAGCGGUGGAAUGCGUAGAGAUUAGGAGGAACACCAGAGGCGAAGGCAGCUUACUGGACCAAAACUGACGCUGAGGCUCGAAAGCGUGGGGAGCAAACAGGAUUAGAUACCCGGGUAGUC